GAUGAACGCUAGCGGGAGGCCUAACACAUGCAAGCCGAGCGGUAUUGUUUCUUCGGAAAUGAGAGAGCGGCGUACGGGUGCGUAACACGUGUGCAACCUGCCUUUAUCUGGGGGAUAGCCUUUCGAAAGGAAGAUUAAUACUCCAUAAUAUAUUGAACGGCAUCGUUUAAUAUUGAAAGCUCCGGCGGAUAGAGAUGGGCACGCGCAAGAUUAGCUAGUUGGUGAGGUAACGGCUCACCAAGGCGAUGAUCUUUAGGGGGCCUGAGAGGGUGAUCCCCCACACUGGUACUGAGACACGGACCAGACUCCUACGGGAGGCAGCAGUGAGGAAUAUUGGUCAAUGGGGGCAAGCCUGAACCAGCCAUCCCGCGUGAAGGACGACUGCCCUAUGGGUUGUAAACUUCUUUUGUAUAGGGAUAAACCUACCCUCGUGAGGGUAGCUGAAGGUACUAUACGAAUAAGCACCGGCUAACUCCGUG
RNAcentral lists this ribosomal RNA (479 nucleotides) under uncultured bacterium. RNAcentral's name for it is "partial 16S ribosomal RNA". It matches the Rfam family "Bacterial small subunit ribosomal RNA", at positions 28 to 507 of the family's 1533-position model. The record is from RNAcentral.